GACGGAGGGUGCUAGCGUUGUUCGGAAUCACUGGGCGUAAAGGGCGCGUAGGCGGCUUCAGGUGUCGGAUGUGAAAGCCCGGGGCUCAACCCCGGAGGUGCAUCCGAAACUCUGAGGCUGGAGGCCGGAAGAGGAGGGUGGAAUACCCAGUGUAGAGGUGAAAUUCGUAGAUAUUGGGUGGAACACCGGUGGCGAAAGCGGCUCUCUGGUCCGGUCCUGACGCUGAGGCGCGAAAGCGUGGGGAGCAAACAGG
RNAcentral lists this ribosomal RNA (253 nucleotides) under uncultured Alphaproteobacteria bacterium. RNAcentral's name for it is "partial 16S ribosomal RNA". It matches the Rfam family "Bacterial small subunit ribosomal RNA", at positions 524 to 776 of the family's 1533-position model. Lineage: Bacteria; Pseudomonadati; Pseudomonadota; Alphaproteobacteria. The record is from RNAcentral.